This 68-nucleotide transfer RNA is filed under the name Loxodonta africana (African savanna elephant). It matches the Rfam family "tRNA". From Rfam's summary of the family: Transfer RNA (tRNA) molecules are approximately 80 nucleotides in length. Lineage: Eukaryota; Metazoa; Chordata; Mammalia; Proboscidea; Elephantidae. The record is from Rfam by way of RNAcentral.
GCGGUGGUUCAGUGGUAGAAUUCUCAGCUUCCAUGCAAGAGACCCAGGUUCAAUUCCUGGCCAGAGCA